Molecule: ribosomal RNA, 421 nt
Filed under: Fusobacteriota bacterium
Lineage: Bacteria; Fusobacteriati; Fusobacteriota
Description: Fusobacteria bacterium partial 16S ribosomal RNA
Rfam family: Bacterial small subunit ribosomal RNA
Source: RNAcentral
UGGGGAAUAUUGCACAAUGGACGGAAGUUUGAUGCAGCGACGCCGCGUGGAGGGUGUAGGCCUUCGGUUUGUGAACUCCUUUUUCUCGCGAAAAAGGCACAGUUUUGGCUGUGUUGAUGGUAGUGGAUGAAGAAGCGCCGGCUAACUACGUGCCAGCAGCCGCGGUAAUACGUAGGGCGCGAGCGUUGUCCGGAUUUAUUGGGCGUAAAGAGCUCGUAGGUGGUUCGUCGCGACUGUCGUGAAAGCCAGCAGCUUAACUGUUGGUCUGCGGUGGGUACAGGCGGGAUUGAGUGCGGUAGGGGUGACUGGAAUUCCUGGUGUAGCGGUGGAAUGCGCAGAUAUCAGGAGGAACACCGAUGGCGAAGGCAGGUCACUGGGCCGUUACUGACACUGAGGAGCGAAAGCGUGGGGAGCGAACAGG